This 627-nucleotide long non-coding RNA is filed under the name Mytilus galloprovincialis (Mediterranean mussel). Lineage: Eukaryota; Metazoa; Mollusca; Bivalvia; Mytilida; Mytilidae. The record is from RNAcentral.
GAAAUUUUCAGAUGAAUCGGACAACCUGUUGUUGGGUUGCUGCCCCUGAAUUGGUAAUUUUAAGGAAAUUUUGCUGUUUUUGGUUAUUAUCUUGAAUAUUAUUAUAGAUAGAGAUGAACGGUAAACAGCAAUAAUGUUCAGCAAAGUAAGAUUUACAAAUAAGUCAGCAUGACCAAAAUGGUCAGUUGACCCCCUGAAGGAGUUAUUGCCCUUUAUAGUCAAUUUUUAACCAUUUUUUCGUAAAUCUUAGUAAUCUUUUACAAAAAUCUUCUUCUCUGAAACUACUGGGCCAAAUUAAACUAAACUUUGCCACAAUCAUCAUUGGGGUAAUUUGUUUAAAAAAUGUGUGGCGUGACCUGGCCAAUCAACCAAAAUGGCUGCCACGGCUAAUAAUAGAACAUAGGGGUAAAAUGCAGUUUUUGGCUUAUAACUCAAAAAACCGAAGCAUUAAGAGAAAAUCUGACAGGGUUUAAUUGUUUAUCAGGUCAAGAUCUAUCUGCCCUGAUGUUUUCACAUGGAUCGGACAACCCGUUGUUAGGUUACUGUCCUGAAUUGGUAAUUUUAAGGAAAUUUUGCCGUUUUUUGUUAUUAUCUUGAAUAUUAUUAUAGAUAGAGAUAAACUGUAUC